GGCCCCCAAACGUGGCACAUGUGUGAAGAAUAACUAAGCUCACCCCUUGCCUAGCUCUGCAGCCACGUUUUUCAGGACUGAAGCUCACAGGACCUGCCGUGCAGGACAAGAAGGUCUUGGGCCCCACCCGUGCACAGUACAAGAAAGUGUUGGAAAGUCCUCCCGGGUCAGUAAGCCUGGACGUGGCAGUUUGGUGUGUACUGAGUUCGCUUCCAUCUGGCCGCUGCACAUUGGGCAGGAAAAGGAGGGGCGGUGACUCAGUCACGGACAUAGCAGUGUUGAGAGAUUGAACCCAGGGCUUCGUGCAUCCUAGGCAAGUGAGUGCUCUGCUGCUAAGAUACAUCCCCAGCC
RNAcentral lists this long non-coding RNA (351 nucleotides) under Heterocephalus glaber (naked mole-rat). Its description in RNAcentral is "lncRNA (ENSHGLG00000050188.1)". Lineage: Eukaryota; Metazoa; Chordata; Mammalia; Rodentia; Bathyergidae. The record is from RNAcentral.